ACGAAGGGUGCAAGCGUUACUCGGAAUUACUGGGCGUAAAGCGUGCGUAGGUGGUUCGUUAAGUCUGCCGUGAAAGCCCCGGGCUCAACCUGGGAAUGGCGGUGGAUACUGGCGGACUAGAGUGCGGUAGAGGGUGGUGGAAUUCCCGGUGUAGCAGUGAAAUGCGUAGAGAUCGGGAGGAACAUCUGUGGCGAAGGCGGCCACCUGGACCAGCACUGACACUGAGGCACGAAAGCGUGGGGAGCAAACAGG
RNAcentral lists this ribosomal RNA (252 nucleotides) under uncultured bacterium. RNAcentral's name for it is "partial 16S ribosomal RNA". It matches the Rfam family "Bacterial small subunit ribosomal RNA", at positions 525 to 776 of the family's 1533-position model. The record is from RNAcentral.